This 69-nucleotide transfer RNA is filed under the name Phenacobius mirabilis. Its description in RNAcentral is "tRNA-Arg". It matches the Rfam family "tRNA". Rfam says of the family: Transfer RNA (tRNA) molecules are approximately 80 nucleotides in length. Their secondary structure includes four short double-helical elements and three loops (D, anti-codon, and T loops). The record is from RNAcentral. Lineage: Eukaryota; Metazoa; Chordata; Actinopteri; Cypriniformes; Leuciscidae.
AGGGAGCUAGUCUAAAUAAGACCUCUGAUUUCGGCUCAGAAGACUGUGGUUAAAUUCCAUAGCCCCCUU